Molecule: ribosomal RNA, 1064 nt
Filed under: uncultured dinoflagellate
Lineage: Eukaryota; Dinophyceae
Description: bacterial SSU rRNA
Rfam family: Eukaryotic small subunit ribosomal RNA
Source: RNAcentral
CGGUAAUUCCAGCUCCAAUAGCGUAUAUUAAAGUUGUUGCGGUUAAAAAGCUCGUAGUUGGAUUUCUGCCGAGGACAUCCGGUCCGCCCUCUGGGUGAGCAUCUGGUUUGGCCUGGGCAUCCUCUUGGGGAACGUAUCUGCACUUCAUUGUGUGGUGCGGUAUCCAGGUCUUUUACUUUGAGGAAAUGAGAGUGUUCCAAGCAGGCUAUUGCCGUGAAUACGUUAGCAUGGAAUAAUAGCAUCGGAUUUCAUUCCAAAGCUGUUGGUUUCUUGGGGUGAGAUGAAGGUAAAUAGGGACAGUUGGGGGCAUUCGUAUUUAACUGUCAGAGGUGAAAUUCUUGGAUUUGUUGAAGACGGACUACUGCGAAAGCAUCUGCCAAAGAUGUUCUCAUUGAUCAAGAACGAAAGUUAGGUGAUCGAAGACGAUCAGAUACCGUCCUAGUCUUAACCAUAAACUAUGCCAACUGGAGAUUGGAGGCUGUUAGAUUCUAUAUCGCCUUCUGCAUCUUGAGAGAAAUCAAAGUCUUUGGGUUCCGGGGGGAGUAUGGUCGCAAGGCUGAAACUUAAAGGAAUUGACGGAAGGGCACCACCAGGAGUGGAGCCUGCGGCUUAAUUUGACUCAACACGGGGAAACUUACCAGGUCCAGACAUAAUAAGGAUUGACAUCUUUCUUGAUUCUAUGGGUGGUGGUGCAUGGCCGUUCUUAGUUGGUGGAGUGAUUUGUCUGCUUAAUUGCGUUAACGAACGAGACCUUAACCUGCUAAAUAGUUACGCGAAACUCACGUUUCGUGGCUAACUUCUUAGAGGGACUUUGCGUGUCUAACGCAAGGAAGUUUGAGGCAAUAACAGGUCUGUGAUGCCCUUAGAUGUUCUGGGCUGCACGCGCGCUACACUGAUGCAUUCAACGAGUUUAUAACCUUGCCCGGUAGGGUUGGGUAAUCUUUUGAAAAUGCAUCGUGAUGGGGAUAGAUUAUUGCAAUUAUUAAUCUUCAACGAGGAAUUCCUAGUAAGCAUGAGUCAUCAGCUCGUGCUGAUUACGUCCCUGCUCUUUGUACACACCGCCC